This 442-nucleotide ribosomal RNA is filed under the name uncultured bacterium. RNAcentral describes it as "partial 16S ribosomal RNA". It matches the Rfam family "Bacterial small subunit ribosomal RNA", at positions 338 to 795 of the family's 1533-position model. The record is from RNAcentral.
CCUACGGGUGGCAGCAGUGGGGAAUAUUGCGCAAUGGGCGCAAGCCUGACCCAGCAACGCCGCGUGAAGGAAGAAGGCUUUCGGGUUGUAAACUUCUUUUGACAGGGAAGAGCAGAAGACGGUACCUGUCGAAUAAGCCACGGCUAACUACGUGCCAGCAGCCGGGGUAAUACGUAGGUGGCAAGCGUUGUCCGGAUUUACUGGGUGUAAAGGGCGUGUAGCCGGGCUGACAAGUCAGGUGUGAAAGCCGGGGGCUCAACCCCCGAACUGCUUUGGAAACUGUUGGUCGUGAGUAUCGGAGAGGCAGGCGGAAUUCCUAGUGUAGCGGUGAAAUGCGUAGAUAUUAGGAGGAACACCAGUGGCGAAGGCGGCCUGCUGGACGACAACUGACGGUGAGGCGCGAAAGCGUGGGGAGCAAACAGGAUUAGAUACCCCUGUAGUC